AUGAACGCUGGCGGCGUGCCUAAUACAUGCAAGUCGAGCGAACAGACGAGGAGCUUGCUCCUCUGACGUUAGCGGCGGACGGGUGAGUAACACGUGGAUAACCUACCUAUAAGACUGGGAUAACUUCGGGAAACCGGAGCUAAUACCGGAUAAUAUAUUGAACCGCAUGGUUCAAUAGUGAAAGACGGUUUUGCUGUCACGUAUAGAUGGAUCCGCGCCGCAUUAGCUAGUUGGUAAGGUAACGGCUUACCAAGGCAACGAUGCGUAGCCGACCUGAGAGGGUGAUCGGCCACACUGGAACUGAGACACGGUCCAGACUCCUACGGGAGGCAGCAGUAGGGAAUCUUCCGCAAUGGGCGAAAGCCUGACGGAGCAACGCCGCGUGAGUGAUGAAGGUCUUCGGAUCGUAAAACUCUGUUAUUAGGGAAGAACAAAUGUGUAAGUAACUAUGCACGUCUUGACGGUACCUAAUCAGAAAGCCACGGCUAACUACGUG
RNAcentral lists this ribosomal RNA (496 nucleotides) under uncultured bacterium. RNAcentral's name for it is "partial 16S ribosomal RNA". It matches the Rfam family "Bacterial small subunit ribosomal RNA", at positions 29 to 507 of the family's 1533-position model. The record is from RNAcentral.